Long non-coding RNA from Heterocephalus glaber (naked mole-rat), 1453 nucleotides. The record is from Ensembl. Lineage: Eukaryota; Metazoa; Chordata; Mammalia; Rodentia; Bathyergidae.
UGAGAAACGACCCGGGCGUGAGUGAUUUAACCACUCGGUUCCAAAAUUAGUCAGCCGUGCCCGCAGGUCGACGCAGAGCCCGGGCGCAUUGCCCGGGCUCCAUCCCCUGGACUUUCCCUUCUGGGCCUGGCGCGGCGGCGGCGGCCUCACGUGCUGCACUCUCGAGCCUGGGGCCGAGGCCGCCUCGGCCCACGCUCUCUGCACAGCCGUCCUCGGCCCGGGGCCUACGGUGGGCCCCGCAGCCCGCGGGAGAUAAGGGGCCAGAGCUCCGACCCCAGGACUCUGGCCCCCUGGUGCACCUGCACAGCCCUUCGGACGCCGCGUGGGCAGGUCUUCCCAUAAACAUCUGGUGAUCCCUGGCUGCCUUAAGAUUUCUUCCAAGAUUCCCCAAGAGCUGGUGGGCAGACUCUAUGUGCACACAUGCGGCUGCUCCCCCAGGGUUCUCAAAGGAACCAGCGUGAGCCAGCAUGUAACAAGUCAGAGGAUCCUGUUGCAGAAGACGGGUGCAGAGGGACAUCUUGAGACUCGUGAAGGAGCACCAAGGACCUGAGCCAGACAGGCUGCUGUUCCAGAUGAGUCAGCCGCCCCCAGAAUCCUCAGGCAAACCAGUGCGCCCCCGGGUCUGUGGGCCAGCGGCACCUUGGUUGUUGUUAAACCACUGCAUUUCGAGCUAGUCUGUUGGGUAGCAAUCGGUACUGAAAGCCCAUACUCACAGGACUCCACUGAGCAGACCACCAGGAUGUCCCCUAACCGUAGCCCAGACCAGAAGAGAGAGGCAGUGGCAAAACAUGGGGGUGGAGUAGAGGGUGGAGGGGCAAAGGUGACCCCUCCAGGAGGCAGCAAGGGAGGCCACCAAGGGGUUGCCUGUUGUCCGGGAGAGGAAGCGCGACACAUCACAGUCUGCUGAGGACCGAGGACUGCAGAUAGGUGACCCCAGGCUGGAGCUCUCUGCUGGCUCCAGACAGGACGCAUGGCAUGGCAGGCAUCAUGGGCAGGGACAGCUCUGGCCUGUGAGGACUGCACACACUUCCAGGGCUCCGGAAGGACAGGGUGCUCUGUCUCAAACCUGCGGAAGCACCGCAGGCUUCAGUGGUGAGGAACACAGGCUGUAUGGGGCAUGGAGCCUCCUGUGGGGGAGGUGACAAACAUGAAUGCCAAACAUGAAUGCCAAGGUAGAAUACAGACCAGACUGAGACUGAAGGCUGGGCCUGGGGCUGGUUCCUCUGGAGCCCCAGCCGCAGAACGUUCUAGGUGCUCAAUAAAUGUUUGCCAAAUGGACAGACUCCGCUCCUGGGCCACUGGGAAAUGCCAGGGGAAGGGACCAGAGGGGAGACUGGUCAGAGUAGGCCUGAGAGGCUUCUGCAGUCUCCUGAGGAAAGAAGGCGGGGACAGGGCUGAGGAGAGGGCGGCAGAGAUGGAUACCGAGGGAGGGAGCAUCGUGCACAGGAAGGAC